AACUAAUUAAACAUCUUUUCUCGUAUAAUUUUGGAAAUAAGGUCCAAAAGUUUCUACCGAACUGCCGUAAAAAGUUUGACUGCGGGGAUUAUAUUAGAACAG
This 102-nucleotide non-coding RNA is filed under the name Metabacillus indicus. RNAcentral describes it as "Bacillus cibi Guanine sequence". It matches the Rfam family "Purine riboswitch aptamer". Rfam says of the family: Riboswitches are metabolite binding domains within certain messenger RNAs that serve as precision sensors for their corresponding targets. Allosteric rearrangement of mRNA structure is mediated by ligand binding, and this results in modulation of gene expression. The record is from Rfam by way of RNAcentral. Lineage: Bacteria; Bacillati; Bacillota; Bacilli; Caryophanales; Bacillaceae.